RNAcentral lists this ribosomal RNA (253 nucleotides) under uncultured bacterium. RNAcentral describes it as "partial 16S ribosomal RNA". It matches the Rfam family "Bacterial small subunit ribosomal RNA", at positions 524 to 776 of the family's 1533-position model. The record is from RNAcentral.
UACGUAGGGUGCAAGCGUUAAUCGGAAUUACUGGGCGUAAAGCGUGCGCAGGCGGUUUUGUAAGUCUGUCGUGAAAUCCCCGGGCUCAACCUGGGAAUUGCGAUGGAGACUGCAAGGCUAGAAUCUGGCAGAGGGGGGUAGAAUUCCACGUGUAGCAGUGAAAUGCGUAGAGAUGUGGAGGAACACCGUUGGCGAAGGCAGCCCCCUGGGUCAAGAUUGACGCUCAUGCACGAAAGCGUGGGGAGCAAACAGG